CACGUGGAUAAUCUACCCUUGAGACUGGAAUAACUCGGUGAAAACCGGGAUAAUGCCGGAUAUGACUACGGGAGGCAUCUUCUGUAGUUAAAGGCGGGGACCCUUCGGGGCCUGUCACUCUUGGAUGAGUCCGCGUCCCAUCAGCUUGUUGGUAGGGUAACGGCCUACCAAGGCUAAGACGGGUAGCUGGUCUGAGAGGAUGAUCAGUCACACUGGCACUGAAACACGGGCCAGACUCCUACGGGAGGCAGCAGUGGGGAAUAUUGCGCAAUGGGCGAAAGCCUGACGCAGCGACGUCGCGUGAGGGAAGAAGGCUCUCGGGUCGUAAACCUCUGUCGGGGGGGAAGAAAUUCCUAACGGUUAAUAACCGUUAGGAUUGACGGUACCCCUAAAGGAAGCAUCGGCUAACUACGUGCCAGCAGCCGCGGUAAUACGUAGGAUGCAAGCGUUACUCGGAUUUAUUGGGUGUAAAGGGCUCGCAGGUGGUCCUGUAAGUCAUAGGUGAAAGCCCUCGGCUUAACCGAGGAAUUGCCUAUGAUACUGUAGGACUUGAGUACUGGAGAGGGAAGCGGAAUUCCUGGUGUAGCGGUGAAAUGCGUAGAUAUCAGGAGGAACACCGGUGGCGAAGGCGGCUUCCUGGACAGAUACUGACACUGAGGAGCGAAAGCGUGGGUAGCAAACAGGAUUAGAUACCCUGGUAGUCCACGCCCUAAACGAUGG
This 720-nucleotide ribosomal RNA is filed under the name uncultured bacterium. RNAcentral's name for it is "bacterial SSU rRNA". It matches the Rfam family "Bacterial small subunit ribosomal RNA", at positions 114 to 812 of the family's 1533-position model. The record is from RNAcentral.